GACGAACGCUGGCGGCGUGCCUAACACAUGCAAGUCGAGCGGAGCCAAUUAGAAGAUUCCUUCGGGAUGAUUUUGAGGAAGCUUAGCGGCGGACGGGUGAGUAACGCGUGAGUAACCUGCCCAUAAGAGCGGGAUAACACAGAGAAAUUUGUGCUAAUACCGCAUAUUGAACUAAAGUCGCAUGGUUUUAGUUUGAAAGAUUUAUCGCUUAUGGAUGGACUCGCGUCUGAUUAGAUAGUUGGUGAGGUAACGGCUCACCAAGGCGACGAUCAGUAGCCGAACUGAGAGGUUGAUCGGCCACAUUGGGACUGAGACACGGCCCAGACUCCUACGGGAGGCAGCAGUGGGGAAUAUUGCGCAAUGGGGGCAACCCUGACGCAGCAACGCCGCGUUGAGGAUGACGGUUUUCGGAUUGUAAACUCAUGUCGGGUGGGAAGAUAAUGACGGUACCACCGGAGAAAGUCACGGCUAACUACGUGCCAGCAGCCGCGG
Molecule: ribosomal RNA, 492 nt
Filed under: uncultured bacterium
Lineage: Bacteria
Description: bacterial SSU rRNA
Rfam family: Bacterial small subunit ribosomal RNA
Source: RNAcentral